CAGCCGCCGCGGUAACACGGAGGGUGCAAGCGUUAAUCGGAAUUACUGGGCGUAAAGCGCACGCAGGCGGUUUGUUAAGUCAGAUGUGAAAUCCCCGAGCUUAACUUGGGAACUGCAUUUGAAACUGGCAAGCUAGAGUCUUGUAGAGGGGGGUAGAAUUCCAGGUGUAGCGGUGAAAUGCGUAGAGAUCUGGAGGAAUACCGGUGGCGAAGGCGGCCCCCUGGACAAAGACUGACGCUCAGGUGCGAAAGCGUGGGGAGCAAACAGGAUUAGAUACCCCAGUAGUCCCUGUCUCUUAUAC
Molecule: ribosomal RNA, 301 nt
Filed under: uncultured bacterium
Lineage: Bacteria
Description: partial 16S ribosomal RNA
Rfam family: Bacterial small subunit ribosomal RNA
Source: RNAcentral